RNAcentral lists this ribosomal RNA (675 nucleotides) under Tricholoma focale. Its description in RNAcentral is "eukaryotic LSU rRNA". The stretch from base 267 to 420 matches the Rfam family "5.8S ribosomal RNA". Lineage: Eukaryota; Fungi; Basidiomycota; Agaricomycetes; Agaricales; Tricholomataceae. The record is from RNAcentral.
GUGACCUGCGGAAGGAUCAUUAUUGAAUAAGCUUGGUUGGGUUGUUGCUGGCUCUUCGGAGCAUGUGCACGCCUAACACCAAUCUUCUUUACCACCUGUGCACCUUUUGUAGACCUGGAUAUCUCUCGAGGAAACUCGGUAUGAGGACUGCUGUGCAUUUAAUAAAGCCGGCUUUCCUUACAUUUCCGGUCUAUGUCUUCAUAUACACCAUUUGUAUGUCAUAAGAAUGUUAUAAUAGGACUUGAUUGUCCAAAUAAACCUUAUACAACUUUCAACAACGGAUCUCUUGGCUCUCGCAUCGAUGAAGAACGCAGCGAAAUGCGAUAAGUAAUGUGAAUUGCAGAAUUCAGUGAAUCAUCGAAUCUUUGAACGCACCUUGCGCUCCUUGGUAUUCCGAGGAGCAUGCCUGUUUGAGUGUCAUGAAAUUCUCAACCUUUUCGGCUUUUACCAAAGUUGAUUAGGCUUGGAUGUGGGAGUUUGCGGGCUUUUCUAAAGUCGGCUCUCCUUAAAUUCAUUAGUAGGGACCUUUGUUGCCUUAGCUUUUGGUGUGAUAAUUAUCUACGCCAUUAUGUGAAGCAGCUUUAAAUUGGAGGUUACUGCUUUCUAAUCGUCUCCGGACAUUUCCUGACAAUUUGACCUCAAAUCAGGUAGGACUACCCGCUGAACUUAAGCAUA